AGCGGACAGAUGGGAGCUUGCUCCCUGAUGUUAGCGGCGGACGGGUGAGUAACACGUGGGUAACCUGCCUGUAAGACUGGGAUAACUCCGGGAAACCGGGGCUAAUACCGGAUGCUUGUUUGAACCGCAUGGUUCAAACAUAAAAGGUGGCUUCGGCUACCACUUACAGAUGGACCCGCGGCGCAUUAGCUAGUUGGUGAGGUAACGGCUCACCAAGGCAACGAUGCGUAGCCGACCUGAGAGGGUGAUCGGCCACACUGGGACUGAGACACGGCCCAGACUCCUACGGGAGGCAGCAGUAGGGAAUCUUCCGCAAUGGACGAAAGUCUGACGGAGCAACGCCGCGUGAGUGAUGAAGGUUUUCGGAUCGUAAAGCUCUGUUGUUAGGGAAGAACAAGUACCGUUCGAAUAGGGCGGUACCUUGACGGUACCUAACCAGAAAGCCACGGCUAACUACGUGCCAGCAGCCGCGGUAAUACGUAGGUGGCAAGCGUUGUCCGGAAUUAUUGGGCGUAAAGGGCUCGCAGGCGGUUCCUUAAGUCUGAUGUGAAAGCCCCCGGCUCAACCGGGGAGGGUCAUUGGAAACUGGGGAACUUGAGUGCAGAAGAGGAGAGUGGAAUUCCACGUGUAGCGGUGAAAUGCGUAGAGAUGUGGAGGAACACCAGUGGCGAAGGCGACUCUCUGGUCUGUAACUGACGCUGAGGAGCGAAAGCGUGGGGAGCGAACAGGAUUAGAUACCCUGGUAGUCCACGCCGUAAACGAUGAGUGCUAAGUGUUAGGGGGUUUCCGCCCCUUAGUGCUGCAGCUAACGCAUUAAGCACUCCGCCUGGGGAGUACGGUCGCAAGACUGAAACUCAAAGGAAUUGACGGG
Molecule: ribosomal RNA, 871 nt
Filed under: Bacillus mojavensis
Lineage: Bacteria; Bacillati; Bacillota; Bacilli; Caryophanales; Bacillaceae
Description: bacterial SSU rRNA
Rfam family: Bacterial small subunit ribosomal RNA
Source: RNAcentral